RNAcentral lists this transfer RNA (73 nucleotides) under Zea mays. It matches the Rfam family "tRNA". From Rfam's summary of the family: Transfer RNA (tRNA) molecules are approximately 80 nucleotides in length. Lineage: Eukaryota; Viridiplantae; Streptophyta; Magnoliopsida; Poales; Poaceae. The record is from Rfam by way of RNAcentral.
CCUUGUCUAGCUUAGUUGGUGAAAUAUAAGGCUUUUAACCUUGUGGUCGUGAGUUCAAGCCCCACGAUGGGUG